CUGCAGCCACUUAGGCUGACCAUCCUCAUCUCCCCAUGGGAGCCAGGUAUGCAGUGGCUGCAGAAGACAGUCCAGCACCUUGGUAGUGGACACAGCCUAGUGCUUACAUGGUUUGCCCUAAGGAACCUCAGAGACAGCC
Molecule: small nucleolar RNA, 139 nt
Filed under: Dasypus novemcinctus (nine-banded armadillo)
Lineage: Eukaryota; Metazoa; Chordata; Mammalia; Cingulata; Dasypodidae
Description: Small nucleolar RNA SNORA70 (ENSDNOG00000030454.1)
Rfam family: Small nucleolar RNA SNORA70
About the family: snoRNA U70 seems to be exclusive to mammals and is a member of the H/ACA class of snoRNA which contain H (ANANNA) and ACA box motifs.
Source: RNAcentral